Molecule: ribosomal RNA, 250 nt
Filed under: uncultured bacterium
Lineage: Bacteria
Description: partial 16S ribosomal RNA
Rfam family: Bacterial small subunit ribosomal RNA
Source: RNAcentral
UACGAACUGUGCGAACGUUAUUCGGAAUCACUGGGCUUACAGGGUGCGUAGGCGGCUUGUUAAGUAGGGUGUGAAAGCCCCCGGCUCAACCGGGGAAUGGCGCCCUAAACUAGCGAGCUGGAGUGAGAUAGGGGUGUGUGGAACUUCCGGUGGAGCGGUGAAAUGUGUUGAUAUCGGAAGGAACGCCGGUGGCGAAAGCGACACACUGGAUCUUGUCUGACGCUGAGGCACGAAAGCCAGGGGAGCGAAC